GUGGGGAAUAUUGGACAAUGGGCGAAAGCCUGAUCCAGCCAUGCCGCGUGUGUGAAGAAGGUCUUCGGAUUGUAAAGCACUUUAAGUUGGGAGGAAGGGCAGUAAGUUAAUACCUUGCUGUUUUGACGUUACCGACAGAAUAAGCACCGGCUAACUUCGUGCCAGCAGCCGCGGUAAUACGAAGGGUGCAAGCGUUAAUCGGAAUUACUGGGCGUAAAGCGCGCGUAGGUGGUUUUGUAAGUUGGAGGUGAAAUCCCCGGGCUCAACCUGGGAACUGCCUCCAAAACUGCAUGACUAGAGUACGGUAGAGGGUAGUGGAAUUUCCUGUGUAGCGCUGAAAUGCGUAGAUAUAGGAAGGAACACCAGUGGCGAAGGCGACUACCUGGACUGAUACUGACACUGAGGUGCGAAAGCGUGGGGAGCAAACAGGAUUAGAAACCCGGGUAGUCC
RNAcentral lists this ribosomal RNA (450 nucleotides) under uncultured bacterium. RNAcentral's name for it is "partial 16S ribosomal RNA". It matches the Rfam family "Bacterial small subunit ribosomal RNA", at positions 354 to 796 of the family's 1533-position model. The record is from RNAcentral.